RNAcentral lists this ribosomal RNA (460 nucleotides) under uncultured bacterium. RNAcentral describes it as "partial 16S ribosomal RNA". It matches the Rfam family "Bacterial small subunit ribosomal RNA", at positions 338 to 795 of the family's 1533-position model. The record is from RNAcentral.
CCUACGGGGGGCAGCAGUGAGGAAUAUUGGUCAAUGGACGAGAGCCUGAACCAGCCAAGUAGCGUGAAGGAUGACUGCCCUAUGGGUUGUAAACUUCUUUUAUAAAGGAAUAAAGCGAGGCACGUGUGCCUUUUUGCAUGUACUUUAUGAAUAAGGAUCGGCUAACUCCGUGCCAGCAGCCGCGGUAAUACGGAGGAUCCGAGCGUUAUCCGGAUUUAUUGGGUUUAAAGGGAGCGUAGAUGGGUUGUUAAGUCAGUUGUGAAAGUUUGCGGCUCAACCGUAAAAUUGCAAUUGAUACUGGCAGCCUUGAGUACAGUUGAGGUAGGCGGAAUUCGUGGUGUAGCGGUGAAAUGCUUAGAUAUCACGAAGAACCCCGAUUGCGAAGGCAGCUUACUAAACUGUCACUGACAUUGAUGCUCGAAAGUGUGGGUAUCAAACAGGAUUAGAUACCCCAGUAGUC